This is a non-coding RNA of Manacus vitellinus (golden-collared manakin), 489 nucleotides long. Lineage: Eukaryota; Metazoa; Chordata; Aves; Passeriformes; Pipridae. The record is from the annotation of a RefSeq genome assembly.
UGGAGCUGGUGGGAUCACACCAUGGCCUGGGUCCCUCUCCUCCUCGCGGUGCUCGCCCACACCUCAGGUUCUCUGGUCCAGGCAGCGCUGACUCAGCCGUCCUCAUUGUCUCACAAGGUGGGAGACACCGUCAAGAUCACCUGCCCUGGCCUUAGCAGUAGCUGGCCUAGUGCUGGCUGGUACCAGCAGAAGGUCCCUGGCAGUGCCCCUGUCACUGUGAUCUAUGAAAAUGACAAGAGACCCUCAGACAUCCCUUCGUGAUUCUCCGGAUCCCUGUCCGGCUCCACGGCCACAUUAACCAUCACUGGGGUCCAAGCCGAGGACAAGGCUGUCUAUUUCUGUGGUGGCUGGGACAGCAGCACUUAUGCUGGUAUUGUGACACAGAGAGAUGUGGAAAUGAGGUUCCCUGGUCCAGGCAGCACCACUGAGUCAGCCGUCCUCAUUGUCAGCCAAGGUGGGAGAAACCAUCAAGAUCACCUGCUCUGGUGA